Molecule: RNA transcript, 895 nt
Organism: Exaiptasia diaphana
Lineage: Eukaryota; Metazoa; Cnidaria; Anthozoa; Actiniaria; Aiptasiidae
Exons: 7
Source: RefSeq, a predicted model, not a curated record
CUUGAUGGGAUGGAUCGCAAUAGUCCUUCCAUCAWCUUACAAAUCUAAACCUCUUAGCGAAAGCGCACUCACACCGACAGGCCAAGUGAACCGUGUUAUGCUAGAGUACCGCCGCACGUACAACACACACAAACAAAGUCAUCGAUACCGUUGGCACCAGUGUAUCAUGGCACGAAUUCAGACAGUCAAGAAUUCUCACUUACAUAGGCACAAGUUUAGAUCCAAGAUUAUAUUGUGCAAAUGGCUUGACUACUGUAUGGUAUGUAAUACUGAAGAUAUCGCGGUGACAAAGGUAAAAGAACUUACAGAAUAAAUACGUUGUUGAUGCCUCUUGUGACGGAAAGAUCGUCGUAUUUUUGAAGUGUACAGAUACGUCAUAAAGGUUGGCCAUUGUAAGUACGUACAAAGACCGGAAUACAACAUAAAGUGCAGCCAUUUCUGUAAUCAACAAAACCAUUCGUCAUCCCAAAUAAAAGGUGAGGCGAAGCUUCCACGGCUUCGUUGGUUUAAUGCAUUAAUACAGAAAACUGAGCGUCGAGAGGAACUGAAGAAAAUGAUAGCUGGAAACAAAUGCUUGCAAACAGAUAUUAACUGGGGAGAAAGUGUGUAGCAAGUGGUUAAAGCUUUGGUCCCUAAUCCUAACAUGUUCCUGGUUUGAUUAAAGGUCUACGGCGAAAAAACUACAAGUGACUGGGGUUGUUACUUUACUCCAUUGCUUCAUGGUUUCAUUUCUUUGGCAGUGUUGCAUUGGAUGGAGCAUCGGUCGGAGUUUGAGGUGUAGAAUCAUUGUCGUUUACUGCAAACAAAACAAGAUUCAUUCAACUUGUCAUGCAACAAAAGCAUUUACUGCAAGUUGGGCAAAAAUCAAACUCACUAGUCUAACAAAAAAGGUAAA